CCUUCAAUAAUAUUCUUUUUUCAUCAACAAAAUUCUUCUUCAUCUUUUCUCCUUCUCAUCAUCAUCAUCAUCCAUGGCUUCACAAUCUCAUCAAAAGCUCACAGUUUCCACAACAUCACCGAAGAGUGACAGUGGCAGUGGGAGCGGUAACGGUAACGGUAACGGCGGUGGGGUCGCCAAGGGACACUGCUUGUGUUCACCAACCACACAUGAAGGUUCUUUCAGUUUCUCCUCAAUAAUCCUCCUCAUCAUCGCAUGAUCCAUCAUCCAUCCUCAUCAAAUGAAUUCAUGGAUUUUAUUAUUCAUAUAUAUGUGAUUGAUGAUGAGAUGUUAUAGGCCAUGACAUAAAACACAAUCAAGCUAUUUCUAUCUAUAUAUAUUAAUAUAUAAUAUUAUAUAUCUGUGUGUAUUGAUUCAUGUACCCUAUCUUUUGAUUUACUUGCUGGAAUUCAAAGUGUGUUUCAUGGCUUCUCUGCUC
Molecule: long non-coding RNA, 478 nt
Organism: Arachis stenosperma
Lineage: Eukaryota; Viridiplantae; Streptophyta; Magnoliopsida; Fabales; Fabaceae
Exons: 2
Source: RefSeq, a predicted model, not a curated record